RNAcentral lists this ribosomal RNA (327 nucleotides) under uncultured eukaryote. RNAcentral describes it as "partial 18S ribosomal RNA". It matches the Rfam family "Eukaryotic small subunit ribosomal RNA", at positions 1470 to 1796 of the family's 1831-position model. The record is from RNAcentral.
CCCUUAGAUGUUCUGGGCUGCACGCGCGCUACACUGAUGCACUCAACGAGUUUACACCCUUGCCUGGAAAGGUUGGGUAAUCUUUUGAAAAUGCAUCGUGAUGGGGAUAGAUUAUUGCAAGUAUUAAUCUUCAACGAGGAAUUCCUAGUAAGCACUAGUCAUCAGCUAAUGUUGAUUAUGUCCCUGCCCUUUGUACACACCGCCCGUCGCUACUACUGAUUGGGUGUUCAAGUGAGAUGCUUAGACCCUUGUUGCAUGGUUCAUUAUUGUGCUCCGAAAGGAAAAAGUUUCAAGCUUGAGUGUCUAGAGGAAGUAAAAGUCGUAACA